This 621-nucleotide ribosomal RNA is filed under the name uncultured bacterium. RNAcentral describes it as "bacterial SSU rRNA". It matches the Rfam family "Bacterial small subunit ribosomal RNA", at positions 60 to 671 of the family's 1533-position model. The record is from RNAcentral.
AGUCGAGCGGUAACAUUUCUAGCUUGCUAGAAGAUGACGAGCGGCGGACGCGGUGAGUAAUGCUUGGGAAUAUGCCUUAUGGUGGGGGACAACAGUUGGAAACGACUGCUAAUACCGCAUAAUGUCUACGGACCAAAGGGGGGGAUCUUCGGACCUCUCGCCAUUUGAUUAGCCCAAGUGAGAUUAGCUAGUUGGUGAGGUAAUGGCUCACCAAGGCGACGAUCUCUAGCUGGUUUGAGAGGAUGAUCAGCCACACUGGGACUGAGACACGGCCCAGACUCCUACGGGAGGCAGCAGUGGGGAAUAUUGCACAAUGGGCGCAAGCCUGAUGCAGCCAUGCCGCGUGUGUGAAGAAGGCCUUCGGGUUGUAAAGCACUUUCAGUAAGGAGGAAAGGGAUGUGGUUAAUAACUGCAUUCUGUGACGUUACUUACAGAAGAAGCACCGGCUAACUUCGUGCCAGCAGCCGCGGUAAUACGAGGGGUGCAAGCGUUAAUCGGAAUUACUGGGCGUAAAGCGUUCGUAGGCGGUUGAUUAAGCAAGAUGUGAAAGCCCAGGGCUCAACCUUGGAACUGCAUUUUGAACUGGUCAACUAGAGUACUGUAGAGGGUGGUGGAAUUUCC